Molecule: non-coding RNA, 115 nt
Organism: Triticum aestivum (bread wheat)
Lineage: Eukaryota; Viridiplantae; Streptophyta; Magnoliopsida; Poales; Poaceae
Source: Rfam
AUACUACUUCCUCCGUUUCAAAUUACUCGUCGCAGAAAUGAAUGUAUCUAGAAUUAAAACACAUCUAGAUACAUCUAGAUCUACGACAAGUAAUUUGAAACGGAGGGAGUAGUUC